GCAGGGUGAACAACGUCGACAGGACGCUAGAACCCCUACUGCUGGGCGGAACCAAGGCAGAGUGGACGAUGUCGACAAGACGAUAAAACAUACAUUCCUGUUUUUUAUCCCAAGGCGCUGCCUCCAGCCAGACAUUUAAGGAAAGAAGUAAAGGAGGCAGCUCAAGGAAGGUGUGUGCUUCCAUUCCAAAGACAAUCACCUCCGUAACGUGCUGGGCACACACAGAAAGGUCUCUCUCCUGGAACCAGUUAUCAUUCCACGGAAAAUCGAAAAACUACAUCCUCAGGUCAUCACAUGGAGAUGAAGCAAAAUGCCGGAAGCACCACCUUUUCGUCGGUAAACUUCGCUAUUUAUUUAGAGCCAAGAAAAGAUGGCGCCACUAUAAAAACACUUGCCUGCGCCAUGACGGGCUGGGGUCGACUACCAUCCAGGCCCCUCAAGAAAGCCUACAGCCACUAAAGGCCGACAUAAAAAAAAAAAAAAAAAAAAAAAAAAAUAAAAGAAAAAAAAAAAGUAGUCUUGUAAUUCCAGUUUUCUAGGUAUUAUCCCAUCUACAUUGGUAUACAUCACAAUUAAACCCUUAGUUGUUCCAAUUUUGUCUAGUUUAUGUUCACUUUUGGCUUUUCCCUUGUUUACCAUUUCUUUACCGUCUCCCAACUCCCUCAAAAAUUAUUUUCUUCCUCUUCUGCUGUUCUUGCACUAUUCUUCUCCUUUACCUCUGCUUGCAAUUCAUUCCAUUUUUUCCUUUUUUUCGCAUUUCUAUUCUUCUUUAUAUAUAUUUAUAUAUAUACGUAUAUUUUUUUUUUAACCCAUCCGCUGCGACGAACAAAUUUUGCCUUCACUGGUAGCCUGGUAACAUACAGUCCCAGGUCUUUCUCUGCCUUUAUGGUGGAUAGUGGAGUGUUUACCAUGUGGUAUUGGUGUGCUGGAUAUCCCCUCCCAAGGUGCAGGACUUUACAUUUUCCUUCAUUGAAUUGUAGCAGCCACUUUCUGUUCCAUUCCUCAAGCUUGGUGAUGACUUCUUGAAGGAAAUCCGCAGUCAACGGGUUAAGAGUAGGUGUGUAUAUGGCACUAUAACUUACUGUUACACUUAUUUAUUGCUGGUUUUAUAUUGUACACCACUGACUUUUCAAUAUCUGAUGAUGGACGAUGUAAAAACAAUAAAUAUAGAAGUAUGCUACUUGCUUCCCACCAAAGUAAUACACAUUUACAAAUCUAAAGUCCAAUGCAAAUCACCUUGAUGUGAGCUCAGUUUCCUUCUCUUUAUGAAAGUAAGAGGUAGAAAAAUACUUUAGUGUACUUCUAUCAGAUAGACAACUGUUACCUUCAAUAAGCUUGCCCAAAACAAUAUUGCCAACUGACAGGUAAGCAUUUCAUCACCUCUUCAUCUUUUAAAACUCCAUCUACAUGCCAACUUGUGACUUGGCUUAGCUUUCUCCCUAAUGGGCACAAGUGAGGUGUUUCACACUGAUGUGGUCUAUAAAUACUGUGGGCACACAUUCACCAUCUAUAGCAAGUAAUUGUUCACACCAAAAGAUGUCUUGAGAGCUUGGCCUGUGACUUUGACUCUUAUUGGCAGGUGAUAAAUACACUUAAAUAUUUGAAGUUCUAAACUGAAGUCUGAGAACUGAGGUCAUUAGCAAGGUCAGGUAACUUCCUUCACCUCAGACCACUUCUCAAACUGAUUGAUCCAGUGUACAUACCUGAAGAGAGCUAUGACAAGAAUAAUCAAUGGCACAGUUAGCUAUUCAGGUGUGUAACUAACCCUGCCCCAGUCAGGUAUCCAGUAUUGCAGCUGGUGUGAACAACUUCACUGCAAAGUGACAUUGCUCUCCAUCUGCAACUGGGUUAGCAACACAUCUUGAAUGUCAGUUAUUUGCU
Eriocheir sinensis (Chinese mitten crab) is the source of this 1881-nucleotide long non-coding RNA. RefSeq lists it as uncharacterized. The record is from RefSeq and is a predicted model, not a curated record. The transcript has 3 exons. NCBI's taxonomy places the organism in Eukaryota, Metazoa, Arthropoda, Malacostraca, Decapoda, Varunidae.